GAGGUGCGGCAUCCCCGGUUGCAUGCCGACGCCGGAGGAAUAAUAAGGAGGCUUGCGCGGCAGCGCGCUGCUAUUUUUGGUCUUUUGGAAAAUAACGCGCUGCGCCCUUUUUUUCUUUUUCUCCUUGUCUUCUCGCAGUCUUUUCCCCCAUUCUUUCACUAAAAGGCGUGACGGGUCGCUGCCUGCCGUCCGAGCGCGGAGCCGAGCCUCUUGCCUUGGGAUGUCACACGGGACCUGGCUGGGGAGUGCAGCUACGCACACUCCUGGACUCUGCUACGGCACUGGGCCUCAGCCCGCUGCAGCCGGUCUGCAAAUGGAAAGUAGUUUCACCUGUGUCACCUACCCUCCAUCGUUCCCUGUGCUCACAAUGGAAGAUAUUUUGUCACUUGUCAUUGUUUAGAAAAUGCUACGAAUGGAAGGCCCGUGUUUGUUUUUUGUUGGUUUUUUUUUUUUUUAGGGGGUCAGAGAGGGUGGGGUACCUUCACCUAGAAGGAGGGCUGCAAAGCAACAUUAAACAGGAUAGAGUUACACGAGGCCUAACUAGAUGGGUGAGAGGGAGGGAGGGGGAGUUGCAAUAUGUUGUGUAUAUGAUGCUUGAAAACAUUUAGAUACAUAGAUAGGUAUAGGUAUAGAUAGAUGCAGAUAUAGAUGGGUAAAUAGAUGAGAGAGAGGGGGGGAGAGAGAGACAGAAAGUUUCAGGUAAAGUGUAAACCAACAUGGAAUACAGUCAUCGUUACACUUACCAGAAAUUUUUUAUUCAGAUCACAUGAUAUCUCUGUAAGAUGGCCAUGUUCUGAAGGCGAGGAUUUGCAAAGCGAAUUAAGCAUUUUUAGUAGUUUGGCAUGUUGUUAUGUCUCUUUUAAAAUAGCCCUCAGCCUCCUAUUUAUCCCAGUAAUUAUCAAGUCCAGACUUUCCCUUGAAUUUACAUAUGCUUCCUUCUACAAUUACAGUGACAACUGUGGCCCAAAUUAUUAAAAUGGAAAUAAGAUUAAAAAAAAAAUAGGACUAAAUAAUAGGAUUCAUUAUCAACAUAAAUAAAUAUAUGACAAAAAAUGCUCACCUACAAAGUCAGAAUAGCCAAAAUAUGACUUGUAUCAGACAAAAGAAAACCUUUUUUUCUAUUAUGGAUAUACACUUUUUAUGAUGGGUAUAUACUGUGUGCAUCCCUGCAACUGGGGCAGCCUUGCGCUGGACAAAGGAUAGAAGUGCCCUUCUCUGACAGGGAGACUUCCAGCAUUGGCUUCCAUUCACUGAAGUACUUAUGUAAGAACAUAUGUUAAAAUAUUUAAGAAUCAAACCUAUGUCCCUACUCCUAACUUAGGUGUGGCUUUACUUAGACUUCUAACUUGUCCUGAGAGCUUCUAUUUACUGAAAAGGUAAAAUUGAAAUCACGUGUGUUUGCAGGAUGGUGCCUAUGUGUGGUACAUAGUAUUAUUUUAUGUUUAACAUCUCUCAUGCCCAUUCAGCUCAAAUGGCAUUGCAUGUAGGGUGCAGUUUUCAUUAAUGAACAUAUGUUCAUUAAAAACUAAUUAUGGAAAACAGUAUUAACCUUAUUGUAAUAAUUAGCGAUAGCAUAUUUAAACUCUUCUAGAAUAGUUCUGCACAAAAAAAAAAUAAUGAAAGGAUGAGAAAAUUCCAAUUUUCCUCACGAACUCUUAAUUGAGGAAAUAUAAGGGUUAGAAACAGAGAAUAAACCGUAACUGAAGUUACUCAAUGCUUUUUUGAUAAUCAUUUCCUAACGUUAUGGAAAUAUUUUUAUGCAGAUAGCUGCCAAAUAACUAGAUUAUUCCAUUGUAGCCUCAAAUUAGCCGAGUUCUGCAGAAGACAUGUAAAGAAUGACAAAAUUUGGUACUAUUUAAAACACUCUUUAGGACACUCAGCGUGUGCUGAUCAUUUCUCCAGAUGAUGGUGGGGUUUUGGGAAGAGUACACCAUACUGUUCUGAAGAUCCAUUUCUAAGCAAUUUAUGCACAGUUAAUUUGUUUAUGCUUGAAAAAUCACAUCUCUUUUCCUUUAAAAAAUCUGAUAGAGAAUCGCAAAUUUGUAAAAGCCUGUUAAAUUCUAGUCCAUCUGACCUAGUAUGCGAUAGCCCCUCACAGAAAUGGCUCCACAUUUGGAAAAGAUAUCCUUGAAGGAUAUAUAUGCUGAACAUCCAAACUGAAACCCAGCACUGGGGAUGGAGCAAAGAUGUUCUAUUGGCAACUUGUGCAGCUCAUUGUGUGACCGUUCUGAACACCGGCAGUCACCUAUCUGCCACAUGAUCCUUCCCUAAACCAAACCAGGACGGAAGAGAUCACUUGAGGGCUGUAACAAACAAGAAAGAGAAUGUUGCAUAAGAUACUCCGUAGAACUUAAAGCUGGGAAAACAGAAGUGUAGAAGUUUGAGAAACUGAAGGUGAAGAGAGAUGAUAUAUAUGCUUUCCUAACUGAAAGACAGGAAAGAAAAAGCAUGAGAUCCUGAAGGAAGCCACAGUGUUCUCCAGCCAGAUUUCAGCCCAGUACACACCUGGACACACUCUAGGUGCAGCCUUGGAGAACAUUUUUUCUAGAGACUGUGUAUGUCAAGACAGUGCAAAGCAGGUAUUCCAAGGAUUUCAUCCAAGUUGUAAGACUGGUGUUCCAAGGAUUUCAUACAAGUUGCAAGACUGUAAAGAUUUCUAGAAGCAGUUUGCAUCCUGAAAGAAAUUCAAAGGUGGAUGUGGAACUUAGGGACUGUGAAUGCUGAAGUGAAUCCAGAGCAAUAUUGCACAUGAAAACAUUGGGAAGCACUGGAUCAGAAAUAAAAGCUAAAAAUUAAUUUGUAAGACUGUGUCAAAUUGAAAUGUGGAUACAAAUACAGUACGAUACAAUACAAAUGGGGAUUCUUGAAUCAUGAGAAGAAUGAAGACAGAAGUUUGAGCAUGCAGGCUAGACAUUGGAGUUUGAAGCACUGGCAAGACUUGAAUCACUUGAUGGGAGUAGGAAUGGGCAGAAGAGUCUGGAGUGGUAGGGAGGAGGAGUACCAAGGUAGAGCAGAAACUAAGUGAUCUAGAAUGGAUGAUAGGCCAAAAGAAAUCAGUAAGAAUAAAGGUCCUAAGAGUGGAAAGUGGGCAAUGGUAAAAGAGAAACCACGGUGGAGGACAAGUGAUUUGUAAAGGAAAAACAGAGUGUGAGGGGACAAGGAAUGUAAUAGGGGAAGACAAGAGGGAACCUGCAUUAGGCAAAGCUGAAACAGCAGGGAAAUUGCCGUCUUUAUAAAUGUGACUUACUAGAUUUAAGGAGCAGUGACAACAUCUUCCUUAUAGAUGGAGAGGAGAGCAACAACCACAGGGCUCUUUUGACAGGGCACACUUUUCCUGCAUUCUCCUUUCUAAGGUGGGAGAGCACAAAAUGCGUGUACAAAUGCCAUAUUUCUUAGUAGAUGGUAUCGGUUCCAGCUGUAAGAUAACAGUAGCCUCACAGCAGAGCACCAUCCUGGAAAGUUUGUUCCAGCGGGGUCCUCCACACCUGCCAUCUCAAAGAUGAGCAGUCAACCUGAGAGCUAAGGCUGUAUUUUUGAAUUUUCGCAAAGAAGGAAAGUUGAUGGGCAGCACAAGAACAAGCCUAAUUCUUAGGAACAAAAACUGAAUGAAAAAAAUGUUGCAGCCUACAGUCCUGAUGCAAAGAACAAUUUGGUUCAAAUGGGCAACAAAUGAAGGGUUUAUUUUGCUGGAAAACUUUCUAGAUCUAUAACUGCUGCUGAGAAAUAACUAGAAGUGAAUGAACAGCUCAUCCUAUAGGUGUGAUCGGAUAUCAAAGUCUGCCAGCAUGCAGAAAGAAGGAGAAUGUCCUAUUCAAAGUCUUUAAGACACAAUGGCAGAAUUAGAACUUGCUUUGAUUUACUCUUCCUGGAGACCAACAGAUCAGUUUUUAGAGCAACAUGUGUCAGACAUAGUGACUCACAACCACACACUGGCAUCUCUAGUAAAGCAGAGGUUGGUCCAGCAGGAGAUGAAGAGGAAAGAAUCCUGGAUUUUGUAUCUAGUAACCCUAAGAUUGGACAACCCUUAGUAUGCAGUAGACUCGCUUUAUUUUCAGUCCUUUUUAUCUAAAAGGUUGUUCCCACAAUUAAAUACUUUGUUUAAAAAAGAUAUUAAUGGUGUAAGACACAUGGCACCUAACAAGCAAUAAAUGCUUGAUGUACGUGAGGUAAUGGCACAGGUUUUACUAUAGAUGUACAGAUUUUUUCUAAAGGUGGUUAAUGCAAAAUCCUGACCUCAGUUG
Long non-coding RNA from Meleagris gallopavo (turkey), 4241 nucleotides. RefSeq lists it as uncharacterized. The record is from RefSeq and is a predicted model, not a curated record. NCBI's taxonomy places the organism in Eukaryota, Metazoa, Chordata, Aves, Galliformes, Phasianidae.